GACGAACGCUAGCGGCGUGCCUAAUACAUGCAAGUCGAACGCAGUGGGGACGGGUGAGUAACCCGUGGGUAACCUCCCAUCAGAGGGGAUAACACUUGGAAACAGGUGCUAAACCGAUACUGAUGGAUGGACCCGCGGUGCAUUAGCUAGUUGGUGGGGUGACGGCUCACCAAGGCCACGAUGCAUAGCCGAGCUGAUCGGGUGGUCGGCCACACUAGGUAGGAGACAAGGCCCAGACUCCUACGGGAGGCAGCAGUAGGGAGUCUUCGGCAAUGGACUAAACUCUGACCGAGCAACGCCGCGUGAGUGAAGAAGGUUUUCGGAUCGUAAAACUCUGUUGUUAUAGAAGCGGUAUCAAACCAGAAAGCAUCGGCUAACUACGUGCCAGCAGCCGCGGUAAUAC
Molecule: ribosomal RNA, 403 nt
Filed under: uncultured bacterium
Lineage: Bacteria
Description: partial 16S ribosomal RNA
Rfam family: Bacterial small subunit ribosomal RNA
Source: RNAcentral